This 66-nucleotide transfer RNA is filed under the name Gonodactylaceus falcatus. RNAcentral's name for it is "tRNA-Pro". It matches the Rfam family "tRNA". From Rfam's summary of the family: Transfer RNA (tRNA) molecules are approximately 80 nucleotides in length. Their secondary structure includes four short double-helical elements and three loops (D, anti-codon, and T loops). Lineage: Eukaryota; Metazoa; Arthropoda; Malacostraca; Stomatopoda; Gonodactylidae. The record is from RNAcentral.
CAAGGGGUAGUUUAAUAAAAAUAUUAGUUUUGGGAAUUAAUGAUAGGAGGUCACUCCUUCCCUUGA